AGAAUCAACGCUGGCGGCGUGCCUAACACAUGCAAGUCGAACGAGAAAGUGGAGCAAUCCAUGAGUAAAGUGGCGCACGGGUGAGUAACACGUGACUAACCUACCCUUGAGUGGGGGAUAACCUCGGGAAACCGGGCUAAUACCGCAUAAUAUCGAGAGAUCAAAGGAGCAAUUCGCUUAAGGAGGGGGUCGCGGCUGAUUAGCUAGUUGGUGAGGUAAUGGCUCACCAAGGCUAUGAUCAGUA
This 244-nucleotide ribosomal RNA is filed under the name uncultured bacterium. RNAcentral's name for it is "partial small subunit ribosomal RNA". It matches the Rfam family "Bacterial small subunit ribosomal RNA", at positions 26 to 285 of the family's 1533-position model. The record is from RNAcentral.